AUAAAUUCAUUCCAUAAUAUUCAAAAAUGAUAAUUAUAGAAAAAUCAUCUUUAUUCAUAAAAGUUGGGGUCUUACAACUACAAACCUACACCACUUUAUGUGAUGGAUGAGAUUGAUGCUGCUCUUGGUGCGUCUUCAUGGUUUAUAUGUAUUCAUUUUUUGAUUUUUUCUUUACCCUUCUUUAUGUGGUUUCCCUAGUCAC
Molecule: long non-coding RNA, 202 nt
Filed under: Panax ginseng (ginseng)
Lineage: Eukaryota; Viridiplantae; Streptophyta; Magnoliopsida; Apiales; Araliaceae
Description: long non-coding RNA (PGIN_LNC008040)
Source: RNAcentral